GUGACAGAUGAUUAUGAACCCCGUCAGGUCCGGGAGGAAGCAGCGGUAAAUAAUUCAAUCUGCAUCACGAAGCAAUCUGGCCUAAU
RNAcentral lists this signal recognition particle RNA (86 nucleotides) under Desulfobacteraceae bacterium. RNAcentral's name for it is "partial signal recognition particle sRNA small type". It matches the Rfam family "Bacterial small signal recognition particle RNA", at positions 14 to 97 of the family's 97-position model. Rfam says of the family: The signal recognition particle (SRP) is a universally conserved ribonucleoprotein involved in the co-translational targeting of proteins to membranes. Archaeal SRP consists of a 7S RNA and homologues of the eukaryotic SRP19 and SRP54 proteins. In most bacteria, the SRP consists of a 4.5S RNA and the Ffh protein (a homologue of the eukaryotic SRP54 protein). Lineage: Bacteria; Pseudomonadati; Thermodesulfobacteriota; Desulfobacteria; Desulfobacterales; Desulfobacteraceae. The record is from RNAcentral.